GCCCUUAGAUGUUCUGGGCAGCACGCGCGCUACAAUGGUCUUCGCAAACGGAUGCAUUCUCGAAGGAGAAUGCCAAUCUUGGAAUCUAUGCCUUGGUCGGGACAGUUGCUUGCAAUUUUUCGACUCGAACCAGGAAUUCCUUGUAAUCGUGAUUCAUCACAUCACGAUGAAUACGUCCCUGCCCUUUGUACACACCGCCCGUCGCUCCUACCGAUCGAAGAGUUAGGUGAAUUGUUUUGAUCGAUAAGAUUUGACUAUGGUCAACUCUCGUUGUGAAAUUCUGUGAAUCUGACUGUUUAGAGGAAGGAAAAGUCGUAACA
RNAcentral lists this ribosomal RNA (320 nucleotides) under uncultured eukaryote. RNAcentral's name for it is "partial 18S ribosomal RNA". It matches the Rfam family "Eukaryotic small subunit ribosomal RNA", at positions 1469 to 1796 of the family's 1831-position model. The record is from RNAcentral.